GUUGGGGCCGUAGGCUCAUUCCUGUGUGGACGGAAGGGGCCUGGGGCUUGAACCCGAGUCCCAGUUCACGUGCUGUGUAGGCGGGUACGUCGCAGCAGGGAACAGCCGGGGCCUGCGAGCGCUCUGCCCCUCCCCCCACCUCCCGCAUGGAGCAUCCCCCAGAUCCGGGGGAUUGUUCUACUGACAAGAUCUGCCAGGCAAGCUUGGAAUCUGGAAGUUCACAUUACUUAGCUAUUGUUCAGGAAGGGGCAUCACUUCCCAUCAGUCUAAACUGA
Molecule: long non-coding RNA, 275 nt
Filed under: Chrysemys picta bellii (western painted turtle)
Lineage: Eukaryota; Metazoa; Chordata; Testudines; Emydidae
Description: lncRNA (ENSCPBG00000007893.1)
Source: RNAcentral